AAUAUGUUCAUAGGUGGAGUCUAGGCACAAGGGAUGGGCAAGGAGCACAGCAUGUUAGCAGGGAUGGCAGCCCAAAUGUGCCAGUCACACAAGCUAUCUGAUCUCAUCUGAAAGAAGGGAGACAGAUGUCUGACAACAGGUUUUAUCUGAAGAGGGCUGUGCUAUGACCACAGAGGAUGGUGUGUGUGCUCCAGCACCCUAGCUAAUCUUCCCUUGUGGAGUACCUGUGCUUUUGCUUUGGCUGCUGCAGUGUAAUUCUAUACCUAUCUGUGUGGAUGCAUUCUGAAAAAAUCCAAAGGAAGGAGUGAAAGUUGAAAUGCAGCGAGAGAGGUUUACUUUCACUGUAGUGCAUCAGCCUGUGUCUCAGCUACUAUGAAUCCCUCCACACCUCACUAACCUUCUGAGAGGGAGAGAGAGAUCCUUAUUACUGCUGUGAAUGCAACACGUUGCCUCAAAACUGUCUGUAGAGCUGCUGGCCCAAAGUCAUUCCUCUAACUCAGGGGCUUACUGAUUUGUGAGUAUACAUGCACCUAUUUUU
Molecule: long non-coding RNA, 538 nt
Organism: Phasianus colchicus (ring-necked pheasant)
Lineage: Eukaryota; Metazoa; Chordata; Aves; Galliformes; Phasianidae
Source: RefSeq, a predicted model, not a curated record